UUACACGGGUAUGAGUAAUGGGAGUCUCUUUGGGAGAGUCUCUUUUUUCUUUUCUUUCUUUCCUUUCUUUCUUUCUUUCUUUCUUUCUUUCUUUCUUUCUUUCUUUCUUUCUUUCUUUCUUUCUUUCUUUCUUUCUUUCUUUCUUUCUUUUUUUUUUUUUUUUCUUCUUCUCCCCCUUCCCAUUCAAGAACAAGCCAGGACAAGUGAUUCUGGAAAAGGGGAGGGGACUGGCCAGAGGGAGCGAGGAUACUUACGCGGUUGCAGAAGGCAGUGGGACCCAGCGUGGUUUUGCCGGCAGGGAGAGGAGGACACGCGCGCGCACACACGCGGCGGUGUCUUGCGGGUGAUGAAUGUGAUAAUUGGAGCGGGGCCGAUGGCAAACCUUUCCUCCAGAAGGAACCAAUGA
RNAcentral lists this long non-coding RNA (406 nucleotides) under Canis lupus familiaris (dog). RNAcentral describes it as "lncRNA (ENSCAFG00030005558.1)". The record is from RNAcentral. Lineage: Eukaryota; Metazoa; Chordata; Mammalia; Carnivora; Canidae.